This is a long non-coding RNA of Schistocerca cancellata (South American locust), 3982 nucleotides long. RefSeq lists it as uncharacterized. The transcript is spliced from 2 exons. NCBI's taxonomy places the organism in Eukaryota, Metazoa, Arthropoda, Insecta, Orthoptera, Acrididae. The record is from RefSeq and is a predicted model, not a curated record.
GAACAUGCAGUGGUAAAUGUUAGCCCACAAGGAAACCAAGUAGAACAGCAGAGAUGACAGCAAAGGAAAAAAAAAAGCACAGUAGAGGUAUAGUGUGUGGAUUCAAUUCCUAUGCUGAAGGCAAAGAGAAAUGACAUACAAGAGUGGAACGUUAAUGUAUAAAACAAGAGGGAAGAUUUUUAGGCAAUAAGGGAAACAGACACAGGCACACAAAGGAAAGUUGGAUUGACAGGAGGAAAACAGAACGAGGCAGCAAUCUACAGCAUCAGUGGAGGAAAACGAAGUACAAGAUAAGGGAAAGAGUAGAACCCUGGAAAAGAGAAAUUUUUUAAGUUUACUACCAAAAACAGAAAAUGGAAGGAGAUGUUAUGAAAACACACAGAGGAAGUACCUAGUCUAAAGGAUGCCACGUAUGAAGCCUCAAAUUAGCUUUAAAUGGAAAGUUCAGAUGAAUAAAUAUGACUGCACCGCCAACGAAAACAGAAGAAACGUAAGUGUAACUGACCAAUGCAAAUGUGUAAUGGACGCCAGCAACACAAAGUAGUUAAGAUUAUACUCAAAUUUCCCAAUAGUGUUUACCGGGAUCCUGUAUCAGUAAUACUAAUGUUAUAACAACACCAUUUGCAGUAUUGCCUGUAUCACACGGAGGAUACUUUUUUGUGUUAGUUACUGAUCGCUGAAGAGGAUUGAGCAACUUGUUACAAUUGUCUUCUAAGAACUUUCAAGUCAUUUACUUUCUCUAUAGUUUCAUGAUCAGUAUCUUCAUAUAACGACUCGUAAUGCGGAAUCAAGUGAAGCAAAUAAAACCAAAACUACACAAACCGACUACUAUCACAGGAGCCCUAUGCCUCAUUUGGUCAAAGGAAAGCAGGAAGGAAUCAGUAGUGGUCUUCUUUAAAGAGCUUUAAGUGGUAAUACACUAAGUAAAACACGAAUCAGGAUAGCUAGAUCUUAAGCCAGCAUUCCGCUGUACUGUACGAGUUCACUAAGUAGUUCUUUGUACCACUCAGUCGAUAGGCAAUGGAAGUGAUGGAGCAGGACGUAUCGAUUUGGCGUCGAGGUGGCUGAAAUUCGGCAAUAGGUAUUAAACUUUCUGAAGUCACCUUUUAGGUGACUUCAGCGAAUAUAUAAACUUUAGUUUCAGAGCUCCUACAUGAUCGGUAAGUAGAACUAGAGCAACUGAAAAUGAGUGCUCAUCAUUUACAUCGUGUGCAAAAAGAAAUGGCGGGGCGGAUCCUGGGUAUCAAACUCAGGGACGGGGUUAACGAGAGAGGAAUGCCGAUAAAAGACACCCUGAAAAUAGUUACGGGGCUGAAUGGCAAAUGGUGUGGACUUUAGUGCUGUACGAUCCCAGCAGGUCGAGCAAUGAGGUGGUUCAUUUGACACACGAAAGAGGGACUGGAAGACACCGGAAGAGAUUUCUCAGUGAGAAAUGUUGGAACGUUGCUGACGUGAUAGCACAGAUGUGACGUGGAAGAAUUUGGAAGAGGCCGCCAUCAGCUGUCGAUAAAUAAUGCUCUAAGAACAAAAACGUAGGUGAACAGAGAACCAGGACUGUUUGCGGUGAUCAGAUCGCUUGGACACUGACUUCCUCAUGAAAGAUGACGGCCAGCUGGUGCCAGAAUUCUGGGACGAGGAAUGCGAUUCCGGCGCCAAGUGCGAUAUCUGCGGGUUGACUGAGAAUGUUGCGUAAUUGGCACGCGUCGGCUGUGGUCGCUUCGGCGUGUUCUGCUGCUGAGGGGUCGGGGGUUAUCUCGGCGCCAAUUCUGCCAUGCGCCGCUCAGGUCCCCAACAUGGCCAACUCCGGAGCAUCGCUCCAACUUGAUGACCCUCUUCGACCGCCGCAGACAAGUCAAUGCUCCAGGAAAAGCUGAACUGCCUCUCCGAUUAUUUUUCACAGACGCAACCGGACCACUGUAGGCAGUAGCAAGAACGAUUAGGUUUUUUCCUUUCACCGCUGAAUAGUACGGUCACUUAAGUGCAGCUUGGUUGCUCAGGUGACUGAAUAACACGAGGGGCGUUCAAUAAGUAAAGCAACAUUUUUUUCUCUACCAGUAACCAUGAAGUUUGAAGGAGGGGGGGGGGGGGGGGGAGGGAUGCUAUACGUUGCCUUCAAAAUAGCGUCUGCAAUGGAGGUCCGAUCCAAGCAGACGUGUCUAUGUUUUUUGGCGGUAAACCAAAACAUCGCAGAUAUUCAUAGGCGCUUGCAGAACGUCCACGGGGACCUGACAGUGAACAAAAGUAAGGCGAGUCGUUGAGCAAGGUGUCUCAUCAUCGCAACAAGGUCGUGCAAUCCUGCUGUGAAUCCUGCUGUUUUGGAAAGUGCUGACACUCAGGGAAGAUCGACGGAUCACGAACACCUCGUUGCUGAAACUGACAUCUCUGCUGGCAGUGCUCCCACACACGUCCGCCAAUUGCGGCACUAAAAGACUUGUGGCCGCAUGGUUCCUCGGCGCCUACCAGGAGAGCGUAAAGACCAACGAAGAACCAUCAGAAUGAAGAAUGCACUCCACGGCACCAGUACGUGGAUGGUGGGCAGGUUAUUGAUGCAGAAAGACGUUGGAACCGACGUCGACCAGUAGUGUGGUUCCAUAUGGGCAUACCGGCCCUCCUUUUAAGACGGCGUAUUGAACGGAGAUUACGUUGAAAAAGAUGGUUUUGUAGCCAGAACAUCGGGGAAUAAUACGGUGUAUUUUAACCCUGAGUAAAACCUAGUUGCUUUCAGAAAGAAAAAUUUAUUUAUUGAACGCCUUUCGUAUUAAUAAUGUAGGUUCUGGCUUGAAUUCACAUUGGUCAGAGGUUUGCGGGUCAGUAUGUGGAGCAAGAAUGAAUUCGCAAAUUGCGAUUAUGGUUUAGCGUCUGCUGCAGAAUAUUGCAGAGCAAAUUAACGUAUCUGCCGAGCCGGGACUAACCCGGAUUUGUCCCUUGUUGCGAGCGGUCAGUGUAGCCACUUCGGCUAUCCGUGCAAGAUUCCAGGACGGCCCAGAUCUCAAUUUUUCCUGAUGUGUCUACAUUCCCUAGAUCGCGCACUAUAUUUCCGCAGUUCUCGCACGGGUUGACACUUUUUUCAUAUCUUAUUGCCGUCUAACGGCAUAAAAUACUGUAAGCACGUGCAAAAGGGCAUCGCUUUGGACUACAACGGCUGAUUCUUAUUAACUUCCAAAAACCACUUAAGCGACGUAGAUGUGAUCGCAAAUGUCGGGAAACACCCCAUACAUUUUGAUCCUGAAGGUAUACUUCAAAUCCAGCACAUGUUGCCACUUACGUCUACCGCAGAAUGGCGAAAUUUCAAGUAUGUCAUUUCCAUUUUUUUAACCACUCCUCCGACCUUAGCUGCACCCUCCACGCACUGCAGGUUAAACGUCCGAUUGGCUAUAGGUGCACUGUGGCAAAUUCGUGACUAGUCGGAAAGAACCACAUACAUCCUGUCACCCACUGCCCUAUAUCAGUGUUUUGCCCACUGCUGCUUUGCUUUGUGUGUCUUAAGCAAUAGGGUUUUACGUGGUAACCAUCUAUAGAUCUCAAUUUUAUGCAGCCCCCUUUACAGUAUUCGCUCAGGAACUGGACGAGAUGAACUUGAAUUCACCUACAGUGAGGAUUUACUGGGUUUGUCGAUGACAAGAUGUGAUAAUUGUCUUCAGCCCCUGCUGGUUGCUACCUCUUUACAAGCACUGUUUGUAUCAACAAAUCGGGAGACUUCAUUUACAGUGUCAUGUGCACACCCAAAGAUUACCGGUGCUUUCUGCGAUUAUGUCUCCAUGGCGAUUCAGCACACUGUGCUGAUUCCGUGUAGCCGACUAAUACGUACACACAUACACCAUUUCACUGCCAUGGUAGUCAGGGGUACAGCGACCAGUGUGCUCUUUAACGAAGCGACAAAUCUUGUUUGUUGAGCGUACUAAGCAUCUUCAAGGACAACGGUACAUUUAAGGCCGAAGUGUAAAUCGUAAUCUCAGUGUUGCUUCGACCCGAGCAUGUGUCA